GAUGAACGCUGGCGGCGUGCCUAAUACAUGCAAGUCGAGCGAACAGACGAGGAGCUUGCUCCUCUGACGUUAGCGGCGGACGGGUGAGUAACACGUGGAUAACCUACCUAUAAGACUGGGAUAACUUCGGGAAACCGGAGCUAAUACCGGAUAAUAUAUUGAACCGCAUGGUUCAAUAGUGAAAGACGGUUUUGCUGUCACUUAUAGAUGGAUCCGCGCCGCAUUAGCUAGUUGGUAAGGUAACGGCUUAGCAAGGCAACGAUGCGUAGCCGACCUGAGAGGGGGAUCGGCCACACGAGAGCGGAGACACGGUCCAGGCUCCUACGGGAGGCAGCAGUAGGGAAUCUUCCGCAAUGGGCGAAAACCUUACGGAGCAACGCCGCGUGAGUGAUGAAGGUCUUCGGAUCGUAAAACUCUGUUAUUAGGGAAGAACAAAUGUGUAAGUAACUAUGCACGGCUUGACGGUACCUAAUCAGAAAGCCACGGCUAACUACGUG
RNAcentral lists this ribosomal RNA (497 nucleotides) under uncultured bacterium. RNAcentral describes it as "partial 16S ribosomal RNA". It matches the Rfam family "Bacterial small subunit ribosomal RNA", at positions 28 to 507 of the family's 1533-position model. The record is from RNAcentral.